RNAcentral lists this long non-coding RNA (310 nucleotides) under Mus pahari (shrew mouse). RNAcentral describes it as "lncRNA (MGP_PahariEiJ_G0005628.1)". The record is from RNAcentral. Lineage: Eukaryota; Metazoa; Chordata; Mammalia; Rodentia; Muridae.
AACACGUGAGGAGGAAUACUCCUUCCUCCCUGUGAACCAGCACAGGGCAGCUGCGCAUACCAUGCCCACAGCCCCGUUAGGUUGUGUGAAGCCCCAAGUCUGUGACGGGAUCUUGGAGUACAGAGAUCAGCCUUCAUCACCUACCACCAUCAGGCACUGGGGGUGGGGAUGGGGUUCAAGCUGACACCCUGAGAUGACUACUAGGAACUUUGAGGACAACACUGAGUGGCUACAACAGAGACCGUGCAGUUCACUAGGCCCAGAUGUUGACUCACAGGCCACUGGAAGAAGAAAGGUCUCUACACUGUGG